RNAcentral lists this ribosomal RNA (116 nucleotides) under Olea europaea subsp. europaea. Lineage: Eukaryota; Viridiplantae; Streptophyta; Magnoliopsida; Lamiales; Oleaceae. The record is from RNAcentral.
UCCGACACCGUUUAAACCCAAUACACCAGUUCUCGUACGAUCACUGAAGUUAAGCGACGUCGGGUGAUGUCAGUACUCGGAUGGGUGACCGUCUGAGAGAUCACGUGUUGUUGGUU